Molecule: transfer RNA, 86 nt
Filed under: Peptococcus niger
Lineage: Bacteria; Bacillati; Bacillota; Clostridia; Eubacteriales; Peptococcaceae
Also listed under: 2 other names
Rfam family: tRNA
About the family: Transfer RNA (tRNA) molecules are approximately 80 nucleotides in length. Their secondary structure includes four short double-helical elements and three loops (D, anti-codon, and T loops). Further hydrogen bonds mediate the characteristic L-shaped molecular structure. tRNAs have two regions of fundamental functional importance: the anti-codon, which is responsible for specific mRNA codon recognition, and the 3' end, to which the tRNAs corresponding amino acid is attached (by aminoacyl-tRNA synthetases). tRNAs cope with the degeneracy of the genetic code in two manners: having more than one tRNA (with a specific anti-codon) for a particular amino acid; and 'wobble' base-pairing, i.e. permitting non-standard base-pairing at the 3rd anti-codon position.
Source: Rfam by way of RNAcentral
GCCGGAGUGGCGGAAUAGGCAGACGCACGGGACUUAAAAUCCCGCGAAGGUAAUACUUCGUACCGGUUCGACCCCGGUCUCCGGCA